UGUUCCCCCACCUUGUUCAGCCAGUCUUGCCUUCUGUUGUUAGUCUCCGUUUUCUCAUUGGUAUUUCAUGUGCCAUUUUUUUCCAGGAGGCAGAAGAAGCGGCUUCGUUUUCUCUCCAGACGAAGGAGAUCCAGCUGGCGACGGGGAAACCACAGACCGAGGAAAAGAGGGAGAUGGAUAAAGGGUCCAACUUUUCAGAGAAACGUCCUCAAGGUUACAAGCAGACUAGCGUGAGCAAGAAGGGGUACCUGCAGUGGGCCCGCUAUGGAGAAGCCAGAUUGAGAGCCCGCUUUCCAGGAAGAGCAAAUACGGUGCUCCCCUACCGCUGGAAACAAAGAGGGCAAACCCUGGAAUGUCGCCUCUCGCAGCCGCUGAGGAGAGGCCGCCCCCUGCGCCCAGUCGAGACCUUCCCCUCCGCUCCGCCGCUGCCGUCACCAACGCCGCCGUCUCCUUCUUCUCUCCCAAAAAUUGUGGUGAAACGGAGGACGUCCCGUUUCCUCCAGAACGAGGCCCUCCAGCAUACAGUCAAAACCUGCCCGGAAUGCCACGUCACCUUCAACGGGCUGGCCAGCUUCCGCCGCCACCAGAUGUGCCACACGGGGGAGAAGCGGUACACCUGCUCUUUCUGCGGCAAGGGCUACUGCUUCAGAUCCGAGCUGGCUCGCCACGAGUGCCGGCACGUGGGCCGGAAGCCCCACGAGUGCUCCUACUGCGGGGAAGGGUUUGACCGCAAGUGGUGGCGUGACCAACACCAAAUGGAGCACAUGAAGAGCUCCUCCAGGUUUUGAUCAGCUGGGCGGCAGGGGAGAGAAAAUGGAAAUGGGAUAGAGAUGGGCACGAACUGCUGAUUUGGCGGUUCGUGGCAGUUCGCUUAGUGGCCAAACAGGUAUUUGGUGCUUCUCAGCCCUGCCUCCCCCAGCAGGAACCCAUUCAGGGGCAGCGCCCAGAGGAGGCAGGGCAAGGAAGCCAGGGUGCUGCCUUUGAGUGGGCACGGCUUUGAAACACUAAACACCUGUUUGACUGAUAAACGAACCAGGCAUAGCCGGUGGUUUGUGCCCAUCUCUAUAAACAGGAACAUUUUGUAGAUAAAGGGUGGUGAUAAGUAGAAUAUUUUUACUAUUUGCAUCCAAUUUUUUUUUUACAGUUUAGCUGGCUCACCCGGGCAAAAUUUUCCAUCUUUUUAGAAGGGUAUUUCUAAUGCUUCUUGUUGACUUAGUCCAUCUUUCCUCUGGGAACCCACAGCAAAAUGUGGUUUAAUCAGUAAAAGUUAGAUUUUCUUGUAUAAGGGUAGCGACAUUGGAAGUCCUUCUAUUAUGACGGAUUAUAACUCAAUUUAGCCAGCUUCCCCAUACAAAAUAACUGAGCUGGUUGUGUGGUUUAACGCUUGCGAACCAACCGCAAAACCCACAUUACUGUCGGUAACCAGAGAGGCAAUAUAGGCUUGAGCCUGUACAUGCAACAUUCCCAGAGAUGACAAAAAUAAUAGAUCUGUUUUGAGUGGCCCGAAGUAAGUGUAGGCUUUGCACCUACUGAGGCCUCUCAUUUUUUGACUAGAGGGGGUGAUCCAUGGUCUUUGAGCAAAUCCCUUUGGUCUUUGAGCAAAUCUCUGCUUGCAAAAGUAAACAACUUACUUUUGUGCAAGUAAAUUCUGCUUGCACAAGAAAGUUCUUUGCUUGGCUGGAAAAAUUAUCCAAAAUGGUGCCUGGAAUGGGAGAAGGUAGCAUUCGGGUGCCCACCCUGGCCAUUGUCGAGCCCUAAGAGUGUCGCUCUGUGACGCACUGCUCGUCGCCAAGAUUCAAAAGCAAAUUUUUUUGGCGUCUGUUGCUUUCAGAGUUUUAUAGUUUUAUUCGGUGUUUUGGUGCUUUAUGGCAUUCAUUGGAUUUUUUAAAAAGAAGAAAAAAAGUUGUUUUAUGGAGUUGGGUAGAUUUUCUCUCAGACAUGAAAAUAAAACUUUGUAUUCCAUAACA
This 1967-nucleotide long non-coding RNA is filed under the name Pogona vitticeps (central bearded dragon). RNAcentral describes it as "lncRNA (ENSPVIG00000003477.1)". Lineage: Eukaryota; Metazoa; Chordata; Lepidosauria; Squamata; Agamidae. The record is from RNAcentral.